GCAGUUCCCCUGUAGACACACGUGGGGGCGCUGUUCUGUCUUGUUGAUGGAGCAUUGAGCGACGAGAAGAAGACUGACGUACCUAUAAAAGGCGCGGUUCAGAGACGGGUGACUAGUUGUUGAUGCAAUGACACUGAUGGAAGAACUUUUAAAACAUAUUAGGCGUUCAAAUACACACAAGAGCAGAAAGAAAAUUCUGAAAUGGAUGCAGAAACGUGGUAUCCUGGCGACGACGAUGAAGUGCGCAAAAUGCAACCGUCACAUGCAUCUGGUGAAAUGCCAUGUCAAGGAUGGGCUGUGGUGGGUCUGUAAGCAUCAUAAAAGUUUCCCAAAGUAUGUACGUAAUGGCUCAAUAUUCACCAAGUCUCACAUCCCUCUGACAAAAUGGCUUGAGUUCAUGCACAGUUGAAGCAACUUGCCAUGAUCAGUGACAGGCACUGCAUGAAAAGUGGGAUUUUCGGCAGUAUGCGGCACUGUAGAUUGUCGUGUAAUUUCAGGUUUACGGCUGUUCGCGGCAAUCUGCGGGCAACGCCGAAAACUGCCGUAAAUUGUCAGAAAUUGACGUGGGCCUCCCUUGGCAGUUAUGACCCCCUCCUCCUAAUUCUAGGGGAGGCUUUGACAUGUAAAUGAAAAUGCUGUG
Long non-coding RNA from Gasterosteus aculeatus aculeatus (three-spined stickleback), 640 nucleotides. Lineage: Eukaryota; Metazoa; Chordata; Actinopteri; Perciformes; Gasterosteidae. The record is from Ensembl.